AAAGCAUGCGCAGGCGGUUAUGUAAGACAGAUGUGAAAUCCCCGGGCUCAACCUGGGAACUGCAUUUGUGACUGCAUGGCUAGAGUACGGUAGAGGGGGAUGGAAUUCCGCGUGUAGCAGUGAAAUGCGUAGAUAUGCGGAGGAACACCGAUGGCGAAGGCAAUCCCCUGGACCUGUACUGACGCUCAUGCACGAAAGCGUGGGGAGCAAACAGGAUUAGAUACCCCUGU
This 230-nucleotide ribosomal RNA is filed under the name uncultured bacterium. RNAcentral describes it as "partial 16S ribosomal RNA". It matches the Rfam family "Bacterial small subunit ribosomal RNA", at positions 562 to 791 of the family's 1533-position model. The record is from RNAcentral.